RNAcentral lists this ribosomal RNA (829 nucleotides) under uncultured bacterium. Its description in RNAcentral is "bacterial SSU rRNA". It matches the Rfam family "Bacterial small subunit ribosomal RNA", at positions 34 to 854 of the family's 1533-position model. The record is from RNAcentral.
CGCUGGCGGAAUGCUUUACACAUGCAAGUCGAACGGCAGCACGGGAGCUUGCUCCUGGUGGCGAGUGGCGAACGGGUGAGUAACACGUCGGAACGUAUCCAUGUAAUGGGGGAUAACGCAGCGAAAGCUGUGCUAAUACCGCAUACGCCCUACGGGGGAAAGCAGGGGAUCUUAGGACCUUGCGUUAUUGGAGCGGCCGACGUCUGAUUAGCUAGUUGGUGGGGUAAAGGCCUACCAAGGCGACGAUCAGUAGCUGGUCUGAGAGGAUGAUCAGCCACACUGGAACUGAGACACGGUCCAGACUCCUACGGGAGGCAGCAGUGGGGAAUUUUGGACAAUGGGCGCAAGCCUGAUCCAGCCAUUCCGCGUGAGUGAAGAAGGCCUUCGGGUUGUAAAGCUCUUUCAGCAGGGAAGAAACGAUCUUGGCUAAUACCUGAGAUUAAUGACGGUACCUGAAGAAGAAGCACCGGCUAACUACGUGCCAGCAGCCGCGGUAAUACGUAGGGUGCGAGCGUUAAUCGGAAUUACUGGGCGUAAAGCGUGCGCAGGCGGUUUUUCAAGUCUGAUGUGAAAGCCCCGGGCUUAACCUGGGAACUGCGUUGGAAACUGAAAGACUAGAGUGCGGCAGAGGGGGGUAGAAUUCCACGUGUAGCAGUGAAAUGCGUAGAUAUGUGGAGGAAUACCGAUGGCGAAGGCAGCCCCCUGGGUCGACACUGACGCUCAUGCACGAAAGCGUGGGUAGCAAACAGGAUUAGAUACCCUGGUAGUCCACGCCCUAAACGAUGUCAACUAGUUGUUGGGGAGGGAGACCUCCUUAGUAACGCAGCUA